UAGGGAAUCUUCCGCAAUGGGCGAAAGCCUGACGGAGCAACGCCGCGUGAGUGAUGAAGGUCUUCGGAUCGUAAAACUCUGUUAUUAGGGAAGAACAAAUGUGUAAGUAACUAUGCACGUCUUGACGGUACCUAAUCAGAAAGCCACGGCUAACUACGUGCCAGCAGCCGCGGUAAUACGUAGGUGGCAAGCGUUAUCCGGAAUUAUUGGGCGUAAAGCGCGCGUAGGCGGUUUUUUAAGUCUGAUGUGAAAGCCAACGGCUCAACCGUUGAGGGUCAUUGGAAACUGGAAAACUUGAGUGCAGAAGAGGAAAGUGGAAUUCCGUGUGUAGCGGUGAAAUGCGCAGAGUUAUGGAGGAACACCAGUGGCGAAGGCGACUUUCUGGUCUGUAUCUGACGCUGAUGUGCGAAAGCGUGGGGAUCAAACAGG
RNAcentral lists this ribosomal RNA (429 nucleotides) under Actinomycetes bacterium. RNAcentral describes it as "Actinobacteria bacterium partial 16S ribosomal RNA". It matches the Rfam family "Bacterial small subunit ribosomal RNA", at positions 355 to 776 of the family's 1533-position model. The record is from RNAcentral. Lineage: Bacteria; Bacillati; Actinomycetota; Actinomycetes.